RNAcentral lists this ribosomal RNA (524 nucleotides) under uncultured bacterium. Its description in RNAcentral is "partial 16S ribosomal RNA". It matches the Rfam family "Bacterial small subunit ribosomal RNA", at positions 28 to 523 of the family's 1533-position model. The record is from RNAcentral.
GACGAACGCUGGCGGCGUGCCUAAUACAUGCAAGUCGAGCGCAGGAAAUCGACGGAACCCUUCGGGGGGAAGUCGAUGGAAUGAGCGGCGGACGGGUGAGUAACACGUAAAGAACCUGCCCUCAGGUCUGGGAUAACCACGAGAAAUCGGGGCUAAUACCGGAUGGGUCAUCGGACCGCAUGGUCCGAGGAUGAAAGGCGCUUCGGCGUCGCCUGGGGAUGGCUUUGCGGUGCAUUAGCUAGUUGGUGGGGUAAUGGCCCACCAAGGCGACGAGGCAUAGCCGACCUGAGAGGGUGAUCGGCCACACUGGGACUGAGACACGGCCCAGACUCCUACGGGAGGCAGCAGUAGGGAAUCUUCCACAAUGGACGAAAGUCUGAUGGAGCAACGCCGCGUGAACGAUGAAGGCCUUCGGGUCGUAGAGUUCUGUUGUAAGGGAAGAACAAGUGCCGCAGGCAAUGGCGGCACCUUGACGGUACCUUGCGAGAAAGCCACGGCUAACUACGUGCCAGCAGCCGCCGCAG